RNAcentral lists this ribosomal RNA (265 nucleotides) under Clostridioides difficile. RNAcentral's name for it is "partial 16S ribosomal RNA". It matches the Rfam family "Bacterial small subunit ribosomal RNA", at positions 1 to 275 of the family's 1533-position model. Lineage: Bacteria; Bacillati; Bacillota; Clostridia; Peptostreptococcales; Peptostreptococcaceae. The record is from RNAcentral.
UUAUUUGAGAGUUUGAUCCUGGCUCAGGAUGAACGCUGGCGGCGUGCCUAACACAUGCAAGUUGAGCGAUUUACUUCGGUAAAGAGCGGCGGACGGGUGAGUAACGCGUGGGUAACCUACCCUGUACACACGGAUAACAUACUGAAAGGUAUGCUAAUACGGGAUAAUAUAUUUGAGAGGCAUCUCUUGAAUAUCAAAGGUGAGCCAGUACAGGAUGGACCCGCGUCUGAUUAGCUAGUUGGUAAGGUAACGGCUUACCAAGGCG